Cinara cedri is the source of this 333-nucleotide non-coding RNA. The record is from the annotation of a GenBank genome assembly. Lineage: Eukaryota; Metazoa; Arthropoda; Insecta; Hemiptera; Aphididae.
CAAUCGACCAAAAGUAUUAAAAAAAAAACCACAACAUUGGCUUGGCAGAUUGUUUUUCGAGGUCUGUACCUAAAUCAGAAUUGGGAGACGGGUCGUGACUCGUCGGUACUUGUACUGAUUUGUUAAAAAAAGUCGGAUAAAUUUCAUACAGAGAGUAAGCCAUUGUUGCUGACGGGUAAAUCGGAAAGUAUGAUUUACAGGGCGAUUUCGUUGUUGAUGAAAGACGAUCCCGAACGAAGUAGUAUAUUUGUGUUUUCCCCUGGUUGUCAGAAAUGAACUGAAAUCAAAAAAAAGCACCAAAUAGCAUUCUGCUGCAAAAAGUUUUCUAGACAU